Molecule: ribosomal RNA, 318 nt
Filed under: uncultured eukaryote
Lineage: Eukaryota
Description: partial 18S ribosomal RNA
Rfam family: Eukaryotic small subunit ribosomal RNA
Source: RNAcentral
CCCUUAGAUGUUCUGGGCCGCACGCGUGCUACACUGAGUGGAUCAGCGGGUCAGGUUGCGCGAAAGCGUUUCCUAAUCUUUAAAUCCGCUCGUGAUGGGGAUUGACGGUUGCAAUUUUUUGUCAUGAACGAGGAAUACCUUGUAAGCGCGGGUCAUCAUCCCGCGCUGAAUACGUCCCUGCCCUUUGUACACACCGCCCGUCGCUCCUACCGAUUGAAUGUUCCGGUGAGCUCUUCGGACUGCGCGGUCUGCAGUUUCUGCGUUCCGUGCGGAAAGUUGCGCAAACCUUAACAUUUAGAGGAAGGAGAAGUCGUAACA